CCUGUUGUACGACCACUGGCAUACAAAGAGAGGACGGCCUGGAUGGCAACAUACAUAGCAGGUACAUUGAAGGUCUCAAACAUGAUCUGAGUCAUCUUUUCUCUAUUGGCCUUGGGGUUGAGAGGUGCUUCCGUGAGAAGCACAGGGUGCUCCUCAGGAGCAACACGGAGUUCGUUGUAGAAUGUAUGAUGCCAGAUCUUUUCCAUAUCAUCCCAGUUGCUCACAAUACCAUGCUCAAUAGGAUAUUUCAAAGUAAGGAUACCUCUUUUAGAUUGUGCUUCAUCUCCUACAUAGGCAUCCUUCUGACCCAUCCCAACCAUAACACCAGUGUGCCGGGGACGACCAACGAUACUGGGAAAAACUGCCCUUGGAGCAUCAUCACCAGCAAAACCGGCCUACAUUACAGACAAAAUUAGCUUAACCAUAUGAUACUUCUCAUAAAGAAAUAAACAAUAACCAAGAUUAUAACUCAGGUCUAGAAGAGUUCAUAGUCCGGCCAGGUUUGUGUAUAAUAUCAUCAUAAUUCUUAUGUCCCCAAGCUCGGCUUAGUCCAUAAUAUGAUCUCAUAUUUUACCCAAAUCUACCAAUAGUAUUUUCUAUUUCUUAAAAUAUAUUUUUCAUUUAAUAUUUAGUAUUUUUUUGGGUAUUCUUCAUGUCCAUGUUUAUGGUCCAUGUUCAUGGAUUAUAGCUACCUUUCCCAACAAUUUCGUCUCCAAGGUCUAAAUCUAUGUCUCCUCUUAGGAAUGCAAUGUGUCUUACAAUUGAUUAAGAAAAUUAAUGUUUAAAUUAUAGUAUUAUAUAUGUAUCUAUUAUAUCUAUAAAUUAUAUAAUGUAAACGAGCUGAGCUGCGUUCAGGCUUUGAAUGUAGAAGCCUGAGCAAAGCCCACUUAAACAGAUUUUAUCCUUGUCCAAGUCUAAAAGCUAGGUGUCAGGUUUGCUUUGGUCUAAAAAAUAACUAACCUUCACCAUUCCAGUUCCAUUAUCACAGACGAGGGGUUGAAUAUCCUCACCGUCGGCCAUCUUUUACAAUACUGCAAACAGGAAUCUAGGUAGUGAGUACAGCAAAAUCACUUGUCAACGCGAAUUCUGUGCCCUUCAACUAAUCUAAACAAGCUAAACUAAAGACAUUUGACAAAUCAAUUUCUAGUUUCUCUAAAUGGAAAAAAAAUAAAGUAAAAGCAGAAACACUUAGUCAACAUUAAUUUCUUCAAAUACAGAAAAUAGAACAGUCCAAUAUCCUAGCUGUUUAUGAAACAGCGCAAACAACUAUAGUAGUUAAAAUCGUAGGCAACAUUCAUUUGAGAGAAUCUCAUCAAGCUACCGUAAAAUUCGAUGAACAACAAAUGGAAUCAAUUAGAAAUAAUGAUCGAGAUUAGAGCUUUUCUUAAAGAUAAAAGAAACCUUUGCAAAGUAUUGAAUCUACACAGUGAAAGCAUUAAUCAGGACAAGUUGGUCGAAGAUCAAGUUCAAAAUAAAGAGAAAAAAUAAAUUGUCGUUAGAUCUAUAAAGAAUAGCAAAUGUAAUGAAGCGGAUCAAGCUAAGUAAGGAUCCAGUUGCAAAAGGAGCAGAUCAAGUUAAAUCUAACACUCUAGAAACCUCUCGAACUGUAGAUCUUAGUUGCAUCAUAGCCGAAACAUCAAACUCAAGCAUCAAAUACACAGAUCGGCAGAUUUUGAAGAAAAUUUAAAGCAAAGUAAAAGGUUUACCUGAGUAAAUGAAAGAACGAAGAGGAGCUUCAGAGUAAGAGAGAGAGAGAGAGGGAAGAAGAAGAAGAAGAAGAAGAACCAAAAACGACGACGCUUUUUUCCCUUUUUCUCUCUUCGCUGUAGUUGUGGUGCAGCUGCUGGAGAAGGCAGUGUGCAAGAAGAGAAAGAAAACGGGUAUUUAUCUAUCUACAUUUUUUUUUCAUAACCACGGGUGAUUUUUUUUUUCGCAUAAUGGUUUAAAAUGUCCUUAAUUUUUUUAAAAAUAAUUAAACUCUUAACACUUAAAUUAAUAAAAUUUAUCAAAUAAGCCCUUUACCUAAUAUUAACAGUUACAAUAUUAUAUGGACAUUAACAAAGCUUACACGAUACUCUAUAUCAACUAUAGUUGCUAACAUGACACUAUUACAUCAUCAAAAAUAUUAAAGGAAAUAUAUAAUUCUUUUUACUAAAAUGAACUUAAACAUACGAUUAAUCAGAUUCAUUCGUUUUAAAGCGUAAUUAAUUUUUAGUUAAAAUUUUUUUAAAAUAAUUUAUUUGAUUUUUUAUAACUUUAUAAAACAUUAUUAAAAUUUAUAAAUAAAAUCAAAUAAAAUUCAAUAAAUUUUAAAAAAAAUAAAAACCAUUUAAAAGUUAAGUCCAGAUUCAUUCAAGACGAUUUUUCUAAAUUAUAUAAAAUUUAAAUGAUAGUAAAAAUUAAUUUUCUUUAAAAUUUUGAUAUGUUUAUCAAUGUUUUAAUUCUAUUUUCUCUUUUAAGAUGUAUACAAAAUAAAUAAAAAAUAUUUUUAUAAAAUAAAUAUAAAUAACUUUAAAUUUAACUUUAUUAACUAUAGGUGUAAAGGGUUUUUUUUUAUUGUAUGAAUAUAUCCAAUUAAAAAGUGUACCAAUUAUUUUAUUACAUGUGUAGCUUAAAAGUAGAUAUGUUCAUGAGUCGAGUCAAGUUUAGUCUGGGCCAAUGUAACUAGACCAAUUUUCUAAGCAUGAACCCAACUAAAAAAAUGGGCUUAUUUUUUUCAAGCUAGACCCAAUUUAAAAAAGGUAAGCUCAGGUCCGGCUUAACCUGUCUAUACUUGAUUUUUUUAGAUUAUUUUUAUUUUAAUACAAUUUUAAAAAAUAAUAAUAAUAUACUAAAUGCACAAAAAAAAUACUAAAAUUAAAAUUUUCUAACACAUUAAAAAGUUUUUAUAUUAAAAACUCUACUAUAAAUAUAAUAAAUGUUUUCUUUGAUUAAAAAACACAAAUAAAUAUUUUAUUGUAUUAAGUAUAUUUUUUAAAAUUUUAUAUUUUUUGUUGGGUUAUUUAGCUGGGUAAUUUUUUUUAAGUUUUUGAAUAAUGGUUUAAUUGUUAGCCGAUUAGUGAUUUAAUAUAAAUAUAAAUAUAUAUAAUUAUUAUUUAACAUAUAUAAUUAAUAUAAUAUUUUUUAAAAUAAUAUAUUUAGGUCGGGCAAGUUGGGCUCGAGUAAAAAAUUCUUACCCAAUGUCUGGCCCAUAUAAAAAAUGAAACUUUCUCAUUUUUCGAAUGCACCUUCGGGCUUGGGUGAGUGGUCCGACUCAUGAGCACUACCUUAAAGGUGUAUCAAUUAUUUUGUAGCUUAAAAUAUUUAAAUAAUUAGAUAUAUUCAUACAUUUAUAAAUAAAAAAAACUUUACAUAUACAAUUAAUAAAAUUAAAAUUAUUUAUAGUUAUUUAUAGCCUACAAAUUUUCGCUUAAUUGACAAUGUGCUUUCUCUUUGAAGCUUGGAUAAGUUUUAUCAUUUUGUAAUCACAAUUUGCAUUAACAAUAUUGAAAUCAUUGGUUUUGUAAUACACCACUUGAGAGUUUAGUACGUUUUGAUAAAAUUAUAUUAAAUAGUUUUAGAUAAUUUGAAUGUUCUCUGUUUGACUGUGCUUGAUGGAUCUUGUUUUUAGUUUUAGCAUUAUUAUUAUAUUAUCUUGUCCUAAAAGUGAGGCAGCAUGUUCAUUUUCCUCCCCUUUUUCUUGGACAAACCAUUCUCCUUCCAUUUUAGUUUUGGUGGGAGUAGAAAUCCUUCUGUCACCAAAGCCAAAAGGUAGACUAGUCUGGUCGCAUGGCAUGGCAAAACAUAUACCAUCCAAAUCUAGUUAAAUCACAUUAUCUGUCAGAUAUAUAACUAAUCAAAUAUGGUAUCCAUAACAGUAAAGAAAUUUCAAAAAAUGGUUUUGGAUAUUACUAAAUUUAAAGAGGGCUCGUAUUUGAAGUUCUAUUCGCUGUGAAUCUGAUGAAAAUUUGAAGAUAGUAAUUAUAGCAUUGAGUUUGAAUAUGAUAUGCUAUUCACUGCCAUCCCUUCCACACAAAAACGGUGGAAUUAUCCCUUCCACACACAAUUGACUUGACAUAUUUUGAAGCAUUCAUCGAAACAAAACCAUGCUCAUCACCAUAAUUAAACAGGUUUAUACCCAAUGAAUUCAAAGCAAAAAAGGAUUCACAAGAUUCCAAAACCAGGCAUUAAAUAUAAUUCCCAUACAAGUUUGACCGCAAACUGACUAAUUUUUCAAAAAAAAAUCUCGUACAAUAAUAGCUAUUAACAUUAAUGUUCUCAAAACCCUUGAAUAUUAAAUAAUAAUAAGCACCACAAUACAGUCUCCAGCUCCAAACAUCCUCUUAAGCAAAAUGCUUAAAAGAUGGAAGGUAAGCAAGUAGGGAAUUAAGCACCAAUUGUCCGCCCACCGCCAGCCCCAUAGGGCCCGUCAUCUUAAUGGUGGCGAUACGGUGAAAGGCUAAAAUAAUAGUACAUCAAUAUCAAGUACACCAUCCUACAAUGAUCCCUAACUUCCCCGACAUAAACCAGACUUUUGAGUUCACUUGACACGGCACACCAAAAAAAGCCAACUAAAUGCAAAAUGUAGACCACCAUCAAAAGCAAUUACAAAACUUAGAAGCACUUCCUGUGGACAAUGGAUGGACCGGAUUCAUCAUACUCACCCUUGGAAAUCCACAUCUGCAAAGCAAGAACGUCAGUGUUGGACAACCAUAACACGAAAGAAGUAAAGCCAAAAAUACAAAAAUAUUUACCUGUUGGAAGGUGCUGAGUGAUGCCAAGAUAGAUCCUCCAAUCCAGACACUGUACUUUCUCUCUGGUGGCGCAACGACCUUAAUCUUCAUGCUGCUUGGAGCAAGAGCAGUGAUCUCCUUGCUCAUGCGGUCCGCAAUACCAGGGAACAUGGUUGAACCCCCACUGAGCACAAUGUUACCGUAGAGAUCCUUCCUGAUAUCCACAUCGCACUUCAUGAUAGAGUUGUAGGUAGUUUCAUGGAUUCCAGCAGCUUCCAUCCCGAUGAAAGAUGGCUGGAAGAGGACUUCCGGGCAACGGAAUCUCUCAGCUCCAAUAGUAAUGACUUGUCCGUCAGGCAACUCAUAGUUCUUCUCAACAGAUGAGCUGCUCUUGGCAGUCUCCAGUUCCUGCUCAUAGUCCAGGGCAACAUAAGCAAGCUUCUCUUUCAUGUCACGGACAAUUUCCCGUUCAGCAGUGGUGGUGAACAUGUAACCUCUCUCGGUAAGAAUCUUCAUCAAGGCAUCGGUUAGAUCACGACCUGCAAGGUCAAGACGGAGGAUGGCAUGUGGAAGGGCAUAUCCUUCAUAGAUUGGCACAGUGUGAGAAACACCAUCACCGGAAUCCAGCACAAUACCUGUUCCAAUAGAGAGAUAAUCCAGUGUUAGCAUGAUUCCAAAAUAUCAUUAAAAUGAGAAAAGCUCAUAGAACUUUCGAGUCUAACAAACCUGUUGUACGACCACUGGCAUACAAAGAGAGGACGGCCUGGAUGGCAACAUACAUAGCAGGUACGUUGAAGGUCUCAAACAUGAUCUGAGUCAUCUUUUCUCUAUUGGCCUUGGGGUUGAGAGGUGCUUCCGUGAGAAGCACAGGGUGCUCCUCAGGAGCAACACGGAGUUCAUUGUAGAAUGUAUGAUGCCAGAUCUUUUCCAUAUCAUCCCAGUUGCUCACAAUACCAUGCUCAAUAGGAUAUUUCAAAGUAAGGAUACCUCUUUUAGAUUGUGCUUCAUCUCCUACAUAGGCAUCCUUCUGACCCAUCCCAACCAUAACACCAGUGUGUCGGGGACGACCAACGAUACUGGGAAAAACUGCCCUUGGAGCAUCAUCACCAGCAAAACCGGCCUGCAUUACAGACAAAAUUAGCUUAACCAUAAGAUACUUUUUAGAAAGAAAUAAACAAUAACCAAGAUUAUAACUCAAGUUUAGAGGUGUUCAUAAACCAGGUCAAGUUUGUGUAUGAUAUCAUCAUAAUUCUUCUAUGCCAAAUCUCGGGUUGGUCCAAAAUAUUAUCUAAAUCCACCAAUAUUAUUUCUAUUUUUUAAAUAUUCUUCAUGUCUUUGUCCAUGUUUGGGGAUUGUAGCUAUCUCACCUAACAAUGCCAUCUCCAAUGUUCAAACAUGUGUCUUCCCUUGAGAGUGCAGCUUACCAUUGAUUAAAAAAUUUAAGCCUUACUAUAUAUAAAUAUUGGCCCAACUUAACAACUUUUCUCACACUGGCCCCUAAACUUUUUUUUGGAUCAUAUUGGUACUUAAGGUUGGCAUCUGUUACUCAGAUUGGUCCUUACACUAACACCGUUUGUUCUUUUAAGAAUUUGUUGAUGUGGUUAAAGCAUGGGGCUGACACAUGGAUUCAUCUUUAACCAUUCCUAAAUUUUUUUUUAAAAAAAUUAAAAUUUGUUAAAAAAAUAUAAGAAAUAUACAAAUUAUAAAACUUCAAAUAUAUAUAUAUUGAAAAUAAAAAUAAAAAUAAAAAGAAUAUGUAAAUUGAAAAUAAAAAUAAAAAUAAAAAGAAUAUGUAAAUUGAAAAUAAAAAUAAAAAAGAAUAUGUAAAAAAUUGAAUAUAAAAAUAACAAAUUUAGUUAAAUUUAAAAAAAAACUAAAUAUGUUUAAAAAUAAAUAAAUUUGGUUAAAUUUUUACAAAAUUACAAGAAAUUGUAAAAUUAAAAAAUUUUAAACAUUAAAGAAACAAAAAUUGACCGGUUGACAUUGGUCAACUCCCUGUCAACAUUAGUCAAUGCUGGUCAAGCCCAAUUAACUUCAGUCAACGCACGAUCAAUUUUUCUUUUUUUUUCUUUUUUUGUAAAUUUUAAAAAAUAUUUUUAUUUUUUACUUUUUUUUAAGUUGAAUAUUUAAAGAGUAAGCUUUUAAAUGUUAAAUUUUAACUUAACUUUUUAUUUUCAUUUUUUUAUGUUCAAUUUUUUGAAUUUUUAUAAUUUAUAAUAUCUCUUUAAAAAAUUAAAAAUUUUUCUGAAUCUUUUCAAAAUUUUUAAGGUUUUUUUUUUUUUUUUUUAAGAAUGAUUAAAGAUGAAUCCAUGUGUCACCCUCAUACUUUUCCACAUCAACAAAUUCUUUUGCUUUUCCCAUCAACAAAUUCUUUAAAAAUAAAGAGGGUUAGUGUAAGGACCAAUCUGUGUGACAGAUGCCAACAUUAGGGGCCUAUAUGAUAAAAGCAAAAGUCUAAAGGCCAAUGUGAAAAAAGUUGCCAAAUUCAAGGGUCACUCUACAUAUUAAGCUUUAAAAAAACUAAUGGUGUUAACUAUAUGGACCAAUUUGUGUAAUGGAUGCCAACUUUAGGGACCAAUGUGAUUCAAAAAUAUGUUUAGGGGCAAAUUUGAGGAAAGUUGCUGCUAAGUUUAGGGGUCAAUCUAUAUAGUAAGCCAAAAAUUAAUAUUUAAAUUAUAAUAUUAUGUAUUUAUUUCAUAUAUAAAUUAUAUAAUAUAUAAAAUAAAAUAAAUUUAAUAUUUAUAAAAUUAGAAAAUAAGCUGCGCUAUUCAAGCUUUGAACGUAGAAGCCCGAGCUACGCCCACUUAAAAGUGAUUUUUUUCUUUUAUGUCUUAGCCUAAAGGCUAGGAGUCAGGUUUGCUUUGAUCUAAAAUUAACUAACCUUUAUCACCAAAAAAAAUAAAUUUAACUAACCUUCACCAUUCCAGUUCCAUUAUCACAGACGAGGGGUUGAAUAUCCUCACCGUCGGCCAUCUUUUACAAUACUGCAAACAAGAAUCGAGGUAAUGAGUAUGACAAAAUCACCUGCCAACUCGGAUUCUGUGCCCUUCAACUAAUCUAGACAAGUUAAAUUAAAGACAUUUGACAAAUCAAUUUCUAGUUUCUCUAAAUGGGAAAAAAAUAAAGUAAAAACAGAAACACUUAGUCAACAUUAAUUUCUUCAAAUACAUAAAAUCGAAUAGUCCAAUAUCCUAGCUGCCUAUGAAACAGCGGAAACAACUAUAGUAGCUAAAAUCGUAGGCAACAUUCAAUUGAAAGAAUUUAAUCAAGCUACCGUAUAAUUCGAUGAACAACAAAUGGAAUCAAUUAGAAAUAAUGAUCGAGAUUACAGCUUUUCUUCAAGAUAUAAAAAAACUUUGCAAAGUAUUGAAUCUACACAAUGAAAGCAUUAAUCAGGACAAGUUGGUCAAAGAUCAAGUUCACAAUAAAGAGAAAAAAUCAAUUCUCGUUAGAUCUAUAAAAAAAUGUAAUGAAGCGGAUCAAGCUAAGUACAGAUCCAGCUGCAAAAGGAGCAGAUCAAGUUAAAUCUAACACUCUAGAAACUUAUAGAACUGUAGAUCUCAGUUGCAUCAUAGCCAAAACAUCAAACUCAAGCAUCAAAUACACAGAUCGACAGAUUUUGAAGAAAAAUAAAAGCAAAGUAAAAGGUUUACCUUAGUGAACAAAAGAACGAAAGAGGAGCUUCUGAGAAAGAGAGAGAGGGAAGAAGAAGAAGAAGCAAAAACGACGACGCUUUUUUUCCCCUUUUUCAGUUUUUCUCUCUUCUCCGUGGUGCAGCUGCUGGAGGCGUAAAUGCAAUGUGUUAGAAGUGAAAGAUAACAGGUACUUAUGCAUCUGCCCUUUUUUUCCUCUUUUUUUUUGCAUAACCACGAGUGAAAUUAUUUUUAACGUCUUAAAAAUAAAUUGUUUUUUAUUUAUUUUAAAAGAAACUUUAUUUAAUAAAUAUAUUUGAGAUAUAUCAUAUUUGGUACCUAUAUUUUCAUAAAAUAUUCAAUGUGGUACCUUCACUUUUAAAAUGUCCAACGAAACACUUGAACUAUCAAUGUAUGUUUUGUUAUGAUUCUUAUACUUUCAUAAAAUGUCAAAUGUAGUAUAUAAUUUUUUUAUUAAUAAGAUGUUUAGUUAUUUGUUUUUUAUUUUAUUUUUAUUUUUGUUUUAUUUAAUUUUUCACAAUAAUGUUAUAGUAUUCACGUGGACUUGAUGAUUUGGAAAAGAAAAUUCUACAUGUCAAAUUUUAAUUGAUUGAUUUAGCAAUUCAAAAAUAAUGUUAACAUCAUGUACUAUAAUAGAACAUAUAUUGAUAAUUCAGGUACCAAAUUGGACAUUCUAAAAUACCGGUACCACAUUGAACAUUUCAUAAAAGUACAAGUAUCAUAAUAAAAUAUAUUUUGAUAGUUUAAGUAUCAAAUUAGACAUUUUCAAAGUACAUUUACCAUAUUAAACAUUUUUAUGAAAGGAAAUGCACCAAAUGUGAAAUUAUCCCACUGUAUUUUUAUUUAUAAUUAGGUCGAGGUUAUUUAAUUGCAAUAAUUUAGGUCGCUUUAAUAUUUUCCGAAUUCCUACUGAUUAAUUGAUAAAUUACACAUUAUUUAAAUUAUAUUUUUAGUUAUUCAACUUUGAUGACUUAUAUUAAGUCGAAUCCCUAAAAUUAAAAGAUAUGAUUAAAAAAUACAUACUAAACCAUUAUACGAAAAUUAUAUUGUGUAAGAUUUUUUUUAAAGUCCAAGAUUAUAGUAAUUUCUAUAAAAGGAUUUUACAAACCAUUAUAAAUUGAAGAACUGUCUCCGCUGUUUUUACACUAACUGCAGGUAAAUGCACUGCUCAUCCAAACUCACCCAACGUCAAAAAAUAGUAAAACAUUUAUUGCCUUCUACUUGGUAGAUGGAGUGGCCACAAGAAAGAAAUGAUAAUUUUCUUAAUUUAAUUUAAUCAUUUGUUCACAGUUUUUCUUUUAUUCAAUUUAAUCUUGAUUCUAAAUGUGAUCUGGUAAUGUAAUUUGAAUUUAGUUAAUAUUUUUAUGAACUCUAAUCAUUAAUGUUUUUGCAUGUAUUACAUAUGUAUAAUUCUUGUAAAAUUUUUAUUGAUGGUGUAUUUGGAUGCUUAUAACAUUUAAAAUAUUUGGGUUGACGAUGUGGAGUUAUUUUAUCAAGCAAAUAUUUUUUCAAAAAAUACUCAAGAAAUGAGAGAAAUAAAUAAAUAAAACAUUUAUACCAUUUGUUGAUGGCAUAUUCUCAUCAUAAGUCCCUCCGCCCAUAUCAAUCUAUAUAAUGGAUUCACUUGCAUUUUUAAUUUACAUUAUUAGUCCUUUGUAUUUUACAUAUGUCACAAAUUAAUCUUAUUAAUUAUUACUAUUUUUAAAAGAAUGCUUAAGGGUGUAAAAGGCUCUUGAAUUUUAAAAAGAAGUUCAAGUAAGUUUUUUUUUUUGCACUCAAUUGGGUACCUAAACUGUCAAAAUGCAUAAAAAAAUGCCCUUUUAACGGUCAAAGGGCUUUUUUGAUACAUUUUGGUAGUUUAGGUACCUAAUUGAGUCAAAGAGUAUUUUUGAUGCAUUUUGGUAGUUCGGAUACCUAAUUAAGUGCAAAAAAAAAAUGAUUUUAAUUUCUUUUAAAGUUUGAGGUUUUUUAUACUCUUGAAGCCUUAAAGAAAUGAAUUUCAUCUAAUUUUUACAAUUAUUUUAAAACUAAUACAAAAUGUUAGAGUAUUUGAAGUAAAAGUGUAUAGAAAUAAAUAAUGAAAUUUAAAUAUAUUAAAAAUGUAUUCAACAUUAAUAUUAAAAAGUUUUUUAAAAUCUUAAUAUUUUAAAAUUUAACUAUUUAAGGGAGAAUAUUUGAUGAAUCAUAAUCAGUGCAUAGGUUUCAUGCAUUAUCAAUUAAUAAUAAGAUGACACAUUGUCACUCAUGUAAAACAAAAAAAUAUUGAAGGGUUUAAAAAUAAAUAUAAAUAUUUUUUUUUUAAAAAUAAAUAUUAAUUAUCAUUUUUAAACAUAAAAAUACAAAACUUGAAAUUAAAAACCUCAAAACCGAAAUUUGAAACCAAAAACCUAAACCUAAAAUUUAAAACUUGAAAGAAAAAUAACAAAUGUAAUUAAUAUUUAAUUAUGUUUAAUAAGUUAAUAUUAUUUAUUUUCAAGUACUUCAAUAUUUUUUUUACACUGUAUCAUUUUAUUAUUAAUUAAUAGUGCUUGUGAAAACCCUCGAUUAUCACAGUAAUUAAGAUAUUAUUAAAGUUUUUCGUUCAAUUUCGUAGUGUUCUCACUUUAUUUCUCAUUUAAAUGCAAUUCAAAAAUACCCAAAACACUAAAUUUUAUCUGCCAUAUCUAAAGAAGAAAUAUUUAAUUGAAAAACCAAAAAAAAAAAAAACCCGGGUAAGACCAAAGUUUAACAAUAUCAUGUUAUUAAAAUAAUAUAAUCAUCAAAGCUGAUAUUAAAUUAGUACAAUAAUGAGAAUUCACAAGGCAAAUGACAUUGUAAUUCAUGAAUAAUCUGAUGAAUUGAUUUUUUUUUCUUUUAAUUAAUAGUUCCUAUUCUCAGCCAGCAUACGUACACCAUUACACAACAGACUCCGAUAGCCAUUUAGCCAUAUAAUUACCAAUCGUGUUAUAGACCCUCGGCACCUUUUCAAGUUCGACCGCCCAGCGCCGUUGUAGCAGCACCGUAAUCCUCCGAACCAGUGAGAGCAAUCAUGCCUGCCAUCAGUUGCAGCGCUUCACUGCUGUUGCUCUCGACUAUAAUCUGUCCAUAAACUUUAUCCAAACCAGCAAGAACCACCCACAACUCCGAGUGGAGAACCGCCGCUAUGCCAAGCUGCCUAGUAAACACAACAAUCCAGCUUAAAUGGCAAUUGAUUGUAUCUUGAAGUAAAUAGUUUAUUACGUCUUGUUUCUUUUCGUUUGUAAUGAGAUUAUUAAGAUUUUGUUUUCAUUGAAAAUUUUAUGAUAUUUUGUUAUUUUUCAUGUUAGAUUCUAGUUGAGAAUGUGCUUUCUCUUUGGAGCUUGGAUAAAUUUCAACAUUUUUGUGGUCAGAAAUUGCAUUAAUAAGAUUGAAGUUAUUAGUUUGUUGAAUCUCGUUUUUCUUUUCAUUUAUAAUGAAAUUAGUAGGAUUCUAUUUUCAUUGAAAAUUAUAUGAUAUUUGAUUUUUUUUUUUCGAUGUUAGAUUCUAAUUGACAAUACACUUUCUUUUUAGAUCUUCACAUGUUUUAACAUUUUUGCAGUUACAAUUUGCCUUAACAAGAUUAAAUAAUUACUUUUGCAGUAUGUCGCUUCAGAGUUCAUUGCAUUUUGAUAAAUGGAUAUAUUUUGUAUAAUUUUUUUUUAAAAAUAGGAUUAUAUUAACUUUUUUUAGAAUUAAUAUUAAAUUGGGACUAAAUUUAAUAGUGUCAGAAAAUUUAAUGCGGAUUCGUAUUUGAGGUUCCAUUCGUUGUGAAUCUGAUGAAGAUAGUAAUUAUAGCACUGAAUUUGAAAAUGAGAUUUGAUUCAGAGCUAUCCAUUCCACACAAAAAUGGUGAAAUUAUAAAGGGAGCUCGCAUAAUCCUUCACACACAAUUGACUUGACAAAUUUUGAAGCAUGCAUCGAAACAAAACCAUGUUCACCAUCACCACAAUUAAACAGGUUUAUACCCGAUGAAUUCAAAGCAUAAAAGGAUUCACAAUAUUCCAAAACCAGAUAUUAAAUAUAAUUUCCGUAGAAGUUUGACCGCAAACUGACUCUAAUUUUUCAAAAAAAAUCUCGUACAAUAAUAGCUAUGAACAUUAAUGUUCUCAAAACCCUUGAAUAUUAAAUAAUAAAAUAAAAUAAAAAAGCACCACAAUCCAGUCUCCAGCUCCAAACAUCCUUUUAAGCAACAUGGUUCAAAGAUGGAUUAUAAGGAAGGAAUUAAGCACCAAUUGUCCGCCCACCGCCAUCUCCAUAGGACCCAUCAUCUUAAUGGUGGUGAUACGGUGAAAGGCUAAAAUAAUAAUACGUCAAUAUCAAGUACACCAUCCUACAAUGAUCCCUAACUCUCCCCACAUAAACCAGACUUUGGACUUCACUUAACAUCGCACACAAAAAAAGCCAACUAAAUGCAAAAUGUAGAUCACCAUCAAAAGCAAUUACAAAACUUAGAAGCACUUCCUGUGGACAAUGGAUGGACCGGAUUCAUCAUACUCACCCUUGGAAAUCCACAUCUGUAAAGCAAAAACGUCAGUGUCGGACAACCAUAACACGAAAGAAGUAAAGCCAAAAAUACAAAUAUAUUUACCUGCUGGAAGGUGCUGAGUGAUGCCAAGAUAGAUCCUCCAAUCCAGACACUGUACUUUCUCUCUGGUGGCGCAACGACCUUAAUCUUCAUGCUGCUUGGAGCAAGAGCAGUGAUCUCCUUGCUCAUGCGGUCUGCAAUACCAGGGAACAUGGUUGAACCCCCACUGAGCACAAUGUUACCGUAGAGAUCCUUCCUGAUAUCCACAUCGCACUUCAUGAUAGAGUUGUAGGUAGUUUCAUGGAUUCCAGCAGCUUCCAUCCCGAUGAAAGAUGGCUGGAAGAGGACUUCCGGGCAACGGAAUCUCUCAGCUCCAAUAGUAAUGACUUGUCCGUCAGGCAACUCAUAGUUCUUCUCAACAGAUGAGCUGCUCUUGGCAGUCUCCAGUUCCUGCUCAUAGUCCAGGGCAACAUAAGCAAGCUUCUCCUUCAUGUCACGGACAAUUUCCCGUUCAGCAGUGGUGGUGAACAUGUAACCUCUCUCGGUAAGAAUCUUCAUCAAGGCAUCGGUUAGAUCACGACCUGCAAGGUCAAGACGGAGGAUGGCAUGUGGAAGGGCAUAUCCUUCAUAGAUUGGCACGGUGUGAGAAACACCAUCACCGGAAUCCAGCACAAUACCUGUUCCAAUAGAGAGAGAAUCCAGUGUCAGCAUGAUUACAAAAUAUCUAUAAAAAUGAGAAAGGCUCGUAGAAGUUUCAAGUCUAACAAACCUGUUGUACGACCACUGGCAUACAAAGAGAGAACGGCCUGGAUGGCAACAUACAUAGCAGGUACAUUGAAGGUCUCAAACAUGAUCUGAGUCAUCUUUUCUCUAUUGGCCUUGGGGUUGAGAGGUGCUUCCGUGAGAAGCACAGGGUGCUCCUCAGGAGCAACACGGAG
This 13825-nucleotide long non-coding RNA is filed under the name Gossypium barbadense (sea-island cotton). RNAcentral's name for it is "long non-coding RNA (GBAR_LNC020507)". Lineage: Eukaryota; Viridiplantae; Streptophyta; Magnoliopsida; Malvales; Malvaceae. The record is from RNAcentral.